RNAcentral lists this long non-coding RNA (495 nucleotides) under Theobroma cacao (cacao). Its description in RNAcentral is "long non-coding RNA (TCAC_LNC004887)". The record is from RNAcentral. Lineage: Eukaryota; Viridiplantae; Streptophyta; Magnoliopsida; Malvales; Malvaceae.
UGUGAGAUAAAAGGCGAUUCAGAAGUCAAGUGAGGCAUAAUAAGGUAUUUCAAGUACCAAGGAGACAAGAUAAAAUUUUUAAAAUAUUAAUAUUUAGCUGGAUGUCGAAAUCAGUCAAGAAGAAAGAUCAUAUGGUUGAUUCAAGUGGGGGAGAAGAUGACAACCCCGACUCUAUAAAAAUAUUUAUCAUGACAUACACGUGAUGGAUAGCAUGUUUGCAUACUAGGAGAGUCCCAAAAAAAAAAAUUAAUUACAAAAGUCGAUAUUGUACCUAGACGUACAACAAAGUUGAUUUAAGCCUCGAACUAGAUCAAAUAUAGAAUUCACGAUGAAAUUAAGAAUUUUAAAGUCCCAGAAUGGUUUAAUAUGGUGAUUCGGAGUUCGAGGAUCAAUUUGGAGUCCAAUCGAAAUUUUCGCUAUCUAGGGGCAAAAUGGUCAUUUGCCACCUGAGGACAAAAUGGUAAUUUUUAGAAAAGAUUUUUGGCCCCAUUUGAC